Schistocerca piceifrons (Central American locust) is the source of this 524-nucleotide long non-coding RNA. RefSeq lists it as uncharacterized. The record is from RefSeq and is a predicted model, not a curated record. Lineage: Eukaryota; Metazoa; Arthropoda; Insecta; Orthoptera; Acrididae. The transcript is spliced from 3 exons.
CUGGCUACGGAGCAAGCAUGUUACGUAUAUAGAAGUCACCGCAGGCGCUCAGCUGAGGGCGCAGUCGACGGUAUGGCCAGGACCACGGGUACUGCUGUCAGAGUGCAGGUGCUGGUGUUGGCCGCGAUGGUGGUGGUCGUGGCUCUGACGACGCCUGCGACCUGCCAGCGGUCUGGCGCCAAUCCAGGACGAGUGCGGUGCCCGGUCUGCAGGCCAGUGGACCGGCGCCAGUGCGCCUCGCUCGGGGGCGUUGUCGUCGUGCCUGGAGGGCUCUGCGGCAAGUGCCCCGUCUGCAGGCUCGUCGGCUAACGACGUGGCACGCCUUCACUGGCGCUAGAGUCAACAUUCUCUUCUUCAAGCACGUGAGUUUACGAAACUAACACAGCGAGCCUGAGAUGAAACGGUCGCGCACAGGGUGGUCUAAGGAGCACGAAAGAGAAGAACAGUGACAUCUCACUUACAAAGAAAAUGUUUCCCAGACUGAAUGAUUGUAGUAAAAACAUUAAUAAACCUGUUUUGCGCAA